CUUCCACAGAAUUCUAUAGGGAUCUAUGAGAUCGAGUAUGGAAUUCUGUUUACUCACUUUAAAUUGAGUAUCCGUUUCCCUCCUUUUCCCGCUAGGAUCGGAAAUCCUGAAUUUUCCAUAUCCAUAUGAUCGAGUCCUUAG
This 141-nucleotide ribosomal RNA is filed under the name Triticum aestivum (bread wheat). RNAcentral's name for it is "partial small subunit ribosomal RNA". The record is from RNAcentral. Lineage: Eukaryota; Viridiplantae; Streptophyta; Magnoliopsida; Poales; Poaceae.